GAGGAAGUAAAAGUCGUAACAAGGUUUCCGUAGGUGAACCUGCGGAAGGAUCAUUAUUGAAUAAACCUGAUGUGGUUGUAGCUGGCUUUUCGAAGCAUGUGCUCACCCGUCAUCUUUAUCUCUCCACCUGUGCACCUUUUGUAGUCUUGGAUACCUCUCGAGGAAACUCGGAUUUGGGAUCGCUGUGCUGUACAAGUCGGCUUUCCUUGCAUUUCCAAGACUAUGUUUUUAUAUACACCAAAGAAUGUUUAAAGAAUGUCAUCAAUGGGAACUUGUUUCCUAUAAAAACUAUACAACUUUCAGCAACGGAUCUCUUGGCUCUCGCAUCGAUGAAGAACGCAGCGAAAUGCGAUAAGUAAUGUGAAUUGCAGAAUUCAGUGAAUCAUCGAAUCUUUGAACGCACCUUGCGCUCCUUGGUAUUCCGAGGAGCAUGCCUGUUUGAGUGUCAUUAAAUUCUCAACCUUCCAGCUUUUUAUUAGCUUGGUUAGGCUUGGAUGUGGGGGUUGCGGGCUUCAUUACGAGGUCGGCUCUCCUUAAAUGCAUUAGCGGAACUUCUGUGGACCGUCUAUUGGUGUGAUAAUUAUCUACGCCGUGGAUGUGAAGCAGCUUUAUGAGGUUCAGCUUCUAACCGUCCAUUGACUUGGACAAAUUUUGACAAUUUGACCUCAAAUCAGGUAGGACUACCCGCUGAACUUAAGCAUAUC
This 704-nucleotide ribosomal RNA is filed under the name Laccaria glabripes. Its description in RNAcentral is "eukaryotic LSU rRNA". The stretch from base 295 to 448 matches the Rfam family "5.8S ribosomal RNA". The record is from RNAcentral. Lineage: Eukaryota; Fungi; Basidiomycota; Agaricomycetes; Agaricales; Hydnangiaceae.